Molecule: long non-coding RNA, 1131 nt
Filed under: Malus domestica (apple)
Lineage: Eukaryota; Viridiplantae; Streptophyta; Magnoliopsida; Rosales; Rosaceae
Description: long non-coding RNA (MDOM_LNC006376)
Source: RNAcentral
AGUCCAAAAAUGGUGGAGGCUUUGAUAUGUACUCAAAAUUGGCUUAGGUCUAUUCAUGUUGCAUUACAUCAUGAGCCAACCAUUGAGGAGAUGGAGUUUUGUGAAGAAGUUGAGAAAGGUAAUUUUAUUUAUUGCAUUUGAUUUUGUUAGAUUAUUUUAAAUAACAUUUUAAUUAGUAUCAUUUGUUUUAUUAUUUGUAUGUAGAAAUGGCAAGUGGAAGUUAAAAAAAAGGUGCUAUGUUGCCCCCUAGGCCGCCCAACCGUUAGUAAGCAAAUUGUCAUUCAAACUUGAAAUGGUUGAGUGUUGAUCUUGAGAACUUGAAGAAGUAUGUGCAAGGAUGGAACUUUAGAUGUUUAUUGAAUUUAUAAUCUUAGUUGUAAUGUUUAUUUAGGUGUGGAAGACUUCUUGAACUUUUGAAAUGUUUAUUUUAGGUGUGGAAAACUUGAACUUUGAUGUGUAUUUUAAGUUUGGACUUUGAUUUGAACUUUGAUGUUUAUUUAACUUGGACUUUGGAAGACUUGAUUAUAAUUGAACUUUGAAUGGAAUGUUUAUUUUCAUUAUCUUUGUUAGUUUGUUUGAUAAUUCUAUUAGAAAUUUGGAAUGCUUAUGUUGAAAUGAGACUUUGAUUGACUUUGAUUUUAUUUAUACUCAUUUGAAAGAUGUAUUACAAAAUGGCUGCAAUUUUCUUAGAAUUUUUUUUUUUUUGCUGCUGAAAAAAAAAAAAAAACCGAACCGGGCCGAAACUGAACCGAAAAAAACCGAACCGAAUGCAAACCGAACCGAAUACAAACCGAACCGAACCGAACAGUAAUUUCGGUUCGAUUUCCGGUUUUGGCAAAAAACCGAACCGAACGAAACCGAACCCACCCCUACCUGCCGCUAUUACCACGAACCAGGUGACCAAAAGUACGUCCAGUACUCCAAAAAUUAUUCAGCAACCUGCCGCUAUUACCACCAACCAGGUGAUGAAAUGUACAACCCGUACUCUCAUUCAUGCCACCAACCAGGUGAUCAAAAGUACGCCCAGUACUUCAAAUCAUACAUGAACAUUACUCAUGUCAAUCAUACAUAAACAUUUAUGAGCAUUACUCAUGUCAAUCAUACAUAAACAUUCAUGAGCAUUACUCAUCC